RNAcentral lists this ribosomal RNA (253 nucleotides) under uncultured bacterium. RNAcentral describes it as "partial 16S ribosomal RNA". It matches the Rfam family "Bacterial small subunit ribosomal RNA", at positions 524 to 776 of the family's 1533-position model. The record is from RNAcentral.
CACGUAGGGUGCGAGCGUUAAUCGGAAUUACUGGGCGUAAAGCGUGCGCAGGCGGUUUUGUAAGCCAGAUGUGAAAUCCCCGGGCUUAACCUGGGAAUGGCAUUUGGGACUGCAAGGCUCGAGUGCGGCAGAGGAGACUGGAAUUCCUGGUGUAGCAGUGAAAUGCGUAGAUAUCAGGAGGAACACCGAUGGCGAAGGCAGCUGCCUGGCCCAGAACUGACGCUGAGGUGCGAAAGCGUGGGGAGCGAACGGG